Molecule: ribosomal RNA, 621 nt
Filed under: uncultured Cortinarius
Lineage: Eukaryota; Fungi; Basidiomycota; Agaricomycetes; Agaricales; Cortinariaceae
Description: eukaryotic LSU rRNA
Rfam family: 5.8S ribosomal RNA (bases 243-396)
Source: RNAcentral
GAUCAUUAUUGAAAUAAACCUGAUGGGUUGCUGCUGGCUCUCUAGGGAGCAUGUGCACACUUGUCAUCUUUAUAUCUCCACCUGUGCACCUCUUGUAGAUCUGAAUACCUUUCUGAAUGCGUAGCGUUCAGGUUUGAGGAUUGAUUUAUUUCAUUCCUUACACUUUCAGGUUUAUGUUUUCAUAUACCCCAUGUAUGUUAUAGAAUGUAAUAAACGGGCCUUUUGUGCCUAUAAAUUUAUACAACUUUCAGCAACGGAUCUCUUGGCUCUCGCAUCGAUGAAGAACGCAGCGAAAUGCGAUAAGUAAUGUGAAUUGCAGAAUUCAGUGAAUCAUCGAAUCUUUGAACGCACCUUGCGCUCCUUGGUAUUCCGAGGAGCAUGCCUGUUUGAGUGUCAUUAAUAUAUCAACCUCCUCUGCUUUUGCAUGUUGAGUGUUGGAUGUGGGGGUAUCUUUGCUGGACUCUUUUUUUGAGGUCAGCUCCCCUAAAAUGCAUUAGCAAAACAAUUUGUUUCGCUCAUUGGUGUGAUAACUAUCUACGCUAUUGAUGUGGAGCAGGUUUAGCUUCUAACAGUCCAUUAAUUUGGACAAACUUUUAUUAAUGUGACCUCAAAUCAGGUAGG